RNAcentral lists this ribosomal RNA (484 nucleotides) under uncultured bacterium. RNAcentral's name for it is "partial 16S ribosomal RNA". It matches the Rfam family "Bacterial small subunit ribosomal RNA", at positions 28 to 507 of the family's 1533-position model. The record is from RNAcentral.
GUUGAACGCUGGCGGCAGGCUUAACACAUGCAAGUCGAGCGGAUGAAGGGUGCUUGCGCCUGGAUCUAGCGGCGGACGGGUGAGUAAUGCCUAGGAAUCUGCCGGGUAGUGGGGGAUAACGUCCGGAAAAGGGCGCUAAUACCGCAUACGUCCUGAGGGUGAAAGUGGGGGAGCUUCGGACCUCACGCUAUCAGAGGAGCCUAGGUCGGAUUAGCUAGUUGGUGGGGUAAAGGCCUACCAAGGCGACGAUCCGUGAGUGGUCUGAGAGGAUGAUCAGCCACACUGGAACUGAGACACGGUCCAGACUCCUACGGGAGGCAGCAGUGGGGAAUAUUGGACAAUGGGGGAAAGCCUGAUACAGCCAUGCCGCGUGUGUGAAGAAGGUCUUCGGAUUGUAAAGCCCUUUAAGUUGGGAGGAAGGGCAGUAGGUUAAUACCUUGCUGGUUUGACGGUACCGACAGAAUAAGCACCGGCUAACUACGUG